Molecule: long non-coding RNA, 535 nt
Organism: Anthonomus grandis grandis
Lineage: Eukaryota; Metazoa; Arthropoda; Insecta; Coleoptera; Curculionidae
Exons: 3
Source: RefSeq, a predicted model, not a curated record
GAUUGGAGCUAUUGAUGGCUGCAAUAUAAAUUUCAAGGCUCCCCUGAAACAGCAAGGUGGCUAUAUUGAUAAAAAUUCAAACCAUAGCAUGAAGAUGCAAGCUGUUGUUACUGCUUAAAGGAUAUUUACAACUAUAAAUGUUGGAUUUCCGGGUUCAGUUCAUGACUCUAGGAUUUUUAAUAAUAGUCAGUUGUUCUUACAAACACAAGAAAAUAUCCAAAAAUAUUAUCCUUUAGAAGACUACCAUAUUUUAGGUGACAAGGCUUAUCCACUUUUAGGUUGGUUGUUGACACCUUUUAAAGAAUAUGGAAAUUUGAAUCAAAGGAAAACUAUGCACAACUUAAAACACAGUAAAACUAGAAUUCCAGUGGAACACACAUUCGGUAUAUUAAAAGGACGGUGGAGAAUAUUAAAAUACAUAAAUGUGAAUUGUUCUAAAAAAGCAACAAAAAUCAUUGUUGCAUGCUGUGUCUUGCACAAUUACUGUUAUGAAAACCUGGAUGAAUGGACUGGUGAAAUAGAUGAAAAUGAUAAU